GGGGCGUGUCCGAGGCCGCCGCCCGCCCACCUCCGCUGCCCGGGCCGCGCGGUGCAGCCGCUGCUGGGAGUGAGCGCGUGCGGGCGGUGCUAACGGCCCGGAGCUGCACGCUGCGCACGGAUGAGGCGGGAAAGCUGGAACGGGGCGCGGAACGAAGCCGCGUCUCAGCUGGGUCUGCUUCCUGACAAACCGAGGUUCAUACUGGAGACUUUUCAAAUAGCCUUGAGAUAAAUAGGAAAAGGAGCCUUUUUUCCUGAAGUCAGUACAUUAUACCAGGCAUUCCAUCAUGAAGUUUCUCUUCAGGGAACAGGAGUUCAAACUAUUCAGCACCCCUUCUUUUACAUGACCUGCUUUAAAUCUGUUACAAUGCAGCAUGCUCAAAGAGGACAUUAUUGUUGUUGGCUCUAGCAUGUCAAAACAACAGUCUUGAAAACUUGUGUCUAAAGAUGUGGCAUCACUUUCUUGAACAACAGAGCAGAGAUCAAGCAUCCUGGAGGAAGCCUUUGAUUUCUCUGCACCCACUGCCACCUGAAACAGCACUGUGGGUCCUUACACCUCCCUGAGUCAAUCCUUCCAUUUCCGGAGGUACUACAAUUGGUCCCUUCUCAACUGGUAACUACUUACGGAGACUUAAUGAAUGUAUUAUUUCGCAAGACGGCAUGUUUAUCUUGUGAGGAUGUGAAAGGAGAAAAGAGGGAAACAGUUUUUCUGUGUAUUCUCUUGCCAUCCACUGAAGAGCUUUCCCUGAAAUGAAAGUGAACCCUCUGCCAGGUCAGUAUUUCCUCUGCAUGUUGCACUCAGGUGCAUGUCACAGAGAUAGUGUCCAUCCAAACAAAACAUAUUUGUUAAAACAGCUCAGAAAUUAUAUGGCCAUUAGGACUGUACACAUAAGAAGAUGUCUAGGCCUGUACAGAAACUUCAAGUUUUAGAGCUGAUUUAAUUUCACUGAAUGUUUAAUCAUUUAUAGAGAAAGCCCAAUAUUUGUUCCCUUAAGCUUAAAAUACUAAUUACUGACUUCCUAGUUUGAUAUAACUAAAAUAUAUAUUGUUUUCCAAAUGCUAUUAAAAUGGCCUUUCAUUUUUGCAGUCAUAAGAAUUAGUUUGGGAACUCAUUUGUUCAAAGCUUCAGAUUCAGCUGAGUAAAAAACUGAGUUUAUCCCCUGUGCUUUAAUGAACCUGACUAGAGCAUGCUGCAAGGACAUGAGCUUCUGGUCCAUAAUUUCAUUAGCAGACUGUACCCGCUAUAAUGGACGGACUAAUUCAUUAUUCCUAAUAGUCUGUUUUUGGUGUUCUGUAGUGAAACAAAUUACACAACCAUGAUUCAAGCACAACACAGUAAAAGACAAGGCCAAAAUAAAAGCAGUGAUGGAACCAUUUCUGAACUAAGAACAUUUUGAAUUACUAAGGGAUGGAAGACUUUGGCAGCUAGAUGGGUAAAGCAGGCUCACUAGUUGUCUAAAGGAGCUUGAAGAUGUACCAGAAUUAAUUCAAUAGAAGUCAUGUAGCAACAGAUACUGAUUUUAUUUUAUUGUAUACCAACUACUCCUGUUUUUAGAAUGUUAACUUCCUUCCUUCAGAUCUGAGGGGGGAAAUUUUCACAAAGCUAAAGUAUGUCUCUUAUUCUUUUCUUUAGUAAGCCUUAUAUUUUAUGAGAUUAUACAAUUGAUACAAUUAUAGUAGAAUAAAGUGGGUUUUAUCCAGAGGCCAUUAUUUUAUUUCUCAUUGCUUGAACAUUUUGCUUACAUUUCCUUUCUGAAAUCCAUUGACAAUUCAGGGCAGUAACUCACAGAAAAAGAAUUGGUACCACACAUAACCGGGCUCUAAACUACAGUGUUUGUCUAUUAGUAACACAAUGUAGUAUUUGGUACUAAAAUGAUAAAGGUAUUUGGAUGUACCACAAAGUUAUGUUGAAAGGCUUUUGCUAAAUAAGGAUUAAAAGGCAAAAAUACCUUGAAAUACCUCUCCUGCAUGUAUCUGAAGAUAAUCCACAGCAUAAUCUGUCAUGGCAUGCAACUGAAAUCCACUAAACCCAUAGGCUGAGAGUCCUCAGCAGGACACAGUUCCCUGCUUGGUGCAGGCAUGCUUGGUUCUGCCGCAGGGUGGAAAGCUUGCCUUGCUUCCCUCCCUUCCUCCUUAAGUCCUCAAGGGAAGGGAGGAUGUCUGCCAAGAGAGGAGGGAAGGAAUAUGAAAUGAGAAAGGAAUCCAGCUAUUACUGUAGAAACAAGUGUGGUUUUUAAAAAAGUCAAUUAACACAGAAAAGUUUAACAUUUGGAAAUGUGUCAGUUUUUCCAGUCUCUUCAUGUCACUCUACAUAUGUGGGCUACACUGCCUAGCAGUUUUGAGAGAAUAAUAAAAGUGACUCCAAAAAACAGGUGCAAAUAAGUCCAAAAAAUUAAGGCAAACCGUGAAACGAGGCAAUACAGGGCAGCAGCAAUAGGCUGAAAACAUGAAUUGUAAUGCGAGUAUCACCCUCUGUGCCACUCUGCCAUUAGAUGUACCAAGGAAAUAUUGUUAGAAUAGAACAGAACAGAAUUUAUGGCUGGGAAUCAAUUUGCCCUCAAGUUUAUUUACUCUGUUGUUCUGCCAGUAGUGAAAGGACACCUUGUCCUGCCACAACGGCAGCUACUCAUGCCACGCUUCAGACACUUUUCUCGUUGGCCUGUCUGGCCUUGAAUAGUGUGAAUUAGCUUGUGGCCAGAAACUCUUCUCCUAUCAAUUUGUCAUUAGCCCCUAUGUCAUACAGCUAGGAAGGCAUGGCAGGAGAGACUGGUAAUGGAGACAUCAUCAGAACUAGUAUGAACAAAGCACAGAAGGCUUUAGCAAGAGGAAUUCUGCAUCCCUGAAGUUGUGUCCUGUAAUUUUUUUCUGUGGCUAGUACUUGUUUUCUGAUAGGUUGAGAUACAAUUCAUGAUUUUUAUCAGAGGAAAUAAACACAAACUAUAUGUUAUCAUCUGACAUUGCUGAAAACUAUACAGCUGGAAAGACUUGAAGUAGUAACCAAACUAUGCGAAAUGGGUGAUUAACAAAAGUGGAUCUUAAUGGAAUGUUUAUGUAAUCAUCCAGACUGUGUUUCCUAUUUUUUUUAGAAUUUUGACUCUAUCAAAUCUUGCUUUUUGUAGCUAUUUGUAUUUCUCCUAUGUUUACAUUCCUGGCAGCAAUAGGCUUAUGUCUUAGGAUGCUGGGCGGUAUAUGUGAUCAUUUCUGUGCCUCUAAAACCUCCUACUUCCAGAGAGAUCACAGAAUGCUGGAAUAUCAAAUUAGCAAUUAUAAAGCUGCUAAUGGAGCUCUUGGACUGGAUGAUUUUCAGAGGUCCCUUCCAUCCCCUACAGUUCUGUGAUUCUGUAAUCACAACAGUGGAUUGACUCUCUUUAGCCCAGCAAAGUUCAUCUCCUUGUGCUUCCUCUACAGCCAAGAAGAAAUUUCUACAAUGCAAUUCAGAGCAAAAACCAAAGAUUUAAAGUUAAGAUGUAAGUGCUGAUUAUGAUUCUAUAGAGUAGGUCUGACUAUAGAGGGGCUCAA
Molecule: long non-coding RNA, 3518 nt
Organism: Phasianus colchicus (ring-necked pheasant)
Lineage: Eukaryota; Metazoa; Chordata; Aves; Galliformes; Phasianidae
Source: RefSeq, a predicted model, not a curated record